Molecule: long non-coding RNA, 1690 nt
Organism: Aedes albopictus (Asian tiger mosquito)
Lineage: Eukaryota; Metazoa; Arthropoda; Insecta; Diptera; Culicidae
Exons: 2
Source: RefSeq, a predicted model, not a curated record
UCCCGGCAUUGACAAAUGCAAAAUAGUACGCAAAUCUCGUAUUUACAGCGUCAAAGUUUUAUAGUACCACCUGAUACUAAACGGUUGGAUUUUCGAUCCUUUAGUAUUGGUAGAUAGUAGGAAUUACUAGGUAGAUAGUGGAAAAUUACCCUACUAGCUUUCUUAUGCCACAAAUGUGAAGGUUAGAAUAUAGUGUCCUUGGUGAUAAUUGUAGGAACAACGCUACCCCACAAGUUUAUCAAAAUAGGUUUUUUUUUGUAUGUGCACAGCAAAAUCCAGCCAAAGAAAAUCAUACAGUAAUCAUUCUUCACACAAAUAAUAUUCUAAUCAUUAAGUCAAUUCAUUAUCAGAAAGUACUAAUAUGCAUUACAUCAAUAUUCAUAGUCAUUGAAACACUUGAAAUGAUGCAAAAUAUUGAAUAAUCCUAAAUAACCACUAUGGCCAAAUUGGGAACCACUAUAGUGAUAAUUGGUACACUCAGCCUUAAUAUUUUUACGCAGUAACCAUUCGAAGCAAUAAUAAAACCUGCAAAACCAGAAGUAUUUCAAAUCAUGUGGCGAAACUCUAACUCAUGUUGUUUGUGGUUUAUUGUUUUUCUGAAUUAUCACCAAGGAAGUAUUGCUCUUAUUUUUUGUACAUUUCACUUACACUUGUUUUAUUAAACCAAAUUCAAAACUUUAUCAGAGAUUUUUCGACCUAAUCAAUACAUUGAUGUCACUCCACCACUUAUUCUAUUGUGUCCACAAAAGCAUACCAUCAAGGAUAAAGAUAAGAAAUUUUGCCACCAUUCUUGACACACGUUGAUAACAUAUCAGCUGAUGUUUUCCUCGGAAUGAAAACACAAACAGCUGUGCAUCGAUAAGAACGAACACUCGGCAUAAGUAUACUUCUAGCCUAUUCACUACGUUUGAAGCGGAAGCAGCUUCUUCCAAUUUCCACUCAUGUGUGUACUAGGUAUUCGUCAAAACAAACGCUGACACACACUGGCUAUCUCACAAGACAACCCACUUGGUAUAGUGCCGAUUCGCGCAACAGCGGACUUCAGUUUGUCAACAAAAUCCUAAUCCCAAACGUGUGUCACCGCCACACUACCACCGCAUGCACCGCAUCAUCAUCGCAAAUGCGCGAUAAUUCCCAGUGACGCUAAUUAAAACUCAGCCACAGACGGGCGUUUGCUUCCUCUCCUGGUGGUGCUACUGCUAAACCGAACAACAAUUAGACUAGGGGUUCUCAAUUGUGGGGUGAAUUGAGUUGAUUGAUUCUGAAUCUUCUUGGACUAACUAUGGAUGCUUUGAUCAUCCCAAUUUGUGACUCUUUCUAAGACUUUCAAAAGUGUCACGAGUUAAGAACCACUGCACUAGACAAACCAUUUAAAGGCCAUAUCACGACGACGGUGAUUGUACCGCGGCGAAACUAACCGCACGACACGACGCGACCGACCACCAGGGCCGCCGCCAGUUUCAAGGUCAAGACCAGGGACACUCACCUGUCCGUAUGUUGGAAUUCCUCGGAUAGAUCGCCAGUCGUCCAAUGGUAAGGCUGCUCCGAACACUACGCAUUUCGAAUUAAUUUCUUGAGUAGUGCGCCUGAGGUUUUUCGAUUUUUUUUGUAUGUUUCCUUUCUUUUCACUGUUUCACUGUUUGGAUUUAAAUUGCCCAACUUUCAGUAGUAAUUUGUAUCACAAUUUCAA